RNAcentral lists this long non-coding RNA (658 nucleotides) under Mustela putorius furo (domestic ferret). RNAcentral describes it as "lncRNA (ENSMPUG00000029521.1)". The record is from RNAcentral. Lineage: Eukaryota; Metazoa; Chordata; Mammalia; Carnivora; Mustelidae.
AUGAGGAGUUCAGGAUCGAACUCAGGUCUUGGAUUCAUUUUUGGCUGUGCAUAUUUUUCCCUAGAGGCAUUUAUGGCGGGAAAUAAGAAGUCACGAAACACAGCUGAUUUGAAGAGAGAGGCAGCUGACUUAGGAAGAAGGCAGAAGAAUUUUCUGCUGGUAGGCAAGACAGUGGAAAUUAUCUGAAUGUAACAAUAAGAUAAAAGAUGGCACACAUGCAAGAACAGAUUUCUUAAAAACCACCAGCUAAAGUUUGUGUUGUUUCAUUCUCUUAUUCUCCAAGACAGCCAUAUUUUACCAUGUUAUACAUAAAUAAAAAUGACUUCCAGGCUUAUUUGAUUGUAGACUGAAUUACUCUGUCACAGGGUGACAAGCAAUGACAAAGAGGUUCCCCAUAAUGAAAGUCUAGCAGACCCCAUAUUCUAACAAAAGGUGGUACAGAAAAACCAGGCAGAUUUUCCCUUCACUCAUACUCUCUUACAUAUGAGCUAUAUAGUACUGUCAAUCUCUGUCAUGUCAAUAGGUCACUUGCAAGGUCUUAUAUUUGGCAGGGCAACAUAAGUUUCACAGUAAUUUUUCUGACUAGCCACCCAAAGCGUCUAUAGAAAGAUUUGAAAGAUCAAUUAAAUUACAGGAAAGGCAUAACAUAAAUGUUGCC